Molecule: ribosomal RNA, 301 nt
Filed under: uncultured bacterium
Lineage: Bacteria
Description: partial 16S ribosomal RNA
Rfam family: Bacterial small subunit ribosomal RNA
Source: RNAcentral
CAGCCGCCGCGGGAAUACGUAGGUCCCGAGCGUUGUCCGGAUUUAUUGGGCGUAAAGCGAGCGCAGGCGGUUAGAUAAGUCUGAAGUUAAAGGCUGUGGCUUAACCAUAGUACGCUUUGGAAACUGUUUAACUUGAGUGCAAGAGGGGAGAGUGGAAUUCCAUGUGUAGCGGUGAAAUGCGUAGAUAUAUGGAGGAACACCGGUGGCGAAGGCGGCUCUCUGGCUUGUGACUGACGCUGAGGCUCGAAAGCGUGGGGAGCAAACAGGAUUAGAUACCCCAGUAGUCCCUGUCUCUUAUACA